UACUUUCAGGGAAAGUCCUAUCAGAAAAAGAAAUGGCUUUGCUAUCUCAAACGGGUAAUAUGCUUCAAACAGUGGAUGAUGAAAAAAGUGUGUCGUCUUUGUCAGCAUCAGGAUUGGUUACAGCAUCAGUGAAUUUGGCCACAAAAGUUGAAACAAAAGAUAAUAUUGACUUAUGGGGAAGUUACAUUCCUCAGAGUCACCCUGAGAUACCAGGUGCUGCCAUUAGAAGUCCAGAUAAAGUCAACUCUGCUACCAAACAAAAUGCAUACAACAGCGGAGAUAUGCAUAACUAUUGCAUUAAUUAUGUCAGCUCUGAGUUACCUGUUGAAUCUUCCAACCACGGAUCAUUACCCUUUCAUAAUUACUCAAAAGUAAAUAAUUCUAAUAAACGUCGUAGGUUUUCAGGAACAGCGGUGUCUGAAAAAGAACCCUCAUCAAGCAAAACAGUUGUUCAACAACCAAUAAGUGAAUCGGUUUUAUCUUUGGUGCGAAAGGAGAGCUCAAAUCCAGAUAGCAUGUUAGCAUCUCUUAGCCUGUUAAAUACUAAAGAUGGAACUUUAAAAAUGCAAGCUGAAAUUGAAGAACAAUGUGUGUUAGAAAAAGGACAAAACAUUGACGGACAGAACUUCUACACUAAUGAAAAUCAAAAUUUAGAGAAUGUGACUGAAAAAUCUAAGUGGGAUGACAUUUCUAAUGUUGAGUCACCUAUGAUGCCUAGAAUCACAUCUGUUUUCUCUCUCCACAGCCAACAGGCAUCAGAAUUUUUGCCCCCUGAAGUAAACCAGUUACUUCAGGAUGGGUUAAAAACAAAAUCUGAUGUAAAACAGGACUCUAGUAAGACUCCAGAUAAAGGCCUGCCACUUCAUUGUGACCAGUCCUUUCAGAAACCUGAGGGAGAAGGCAAAAUAGUUGAAUCUUCAAAAGACUUCAAAGUACAAGGUGUCUUCCCAAUUCCAUCUGGUGGUAUAGGGAUUAAUGUGCCUAUAAAUGAUCUGAAUUUAAAGUGUAGUGGAAAAGAAAAACAAAAUCUGUCAAUAUCACAAGAUGUGAGAGAUUCAGAAAAGGCACCUAGAAUUUCAGGUAUUGGCACAUUACUUAAGACUCAGUCAGAUGCAAUAAUAACACAGCAGCUCGUAAAAGAUAAACUGCGAGCCACUACACAAAAUUUAGGUUCUUUAUAUAGGCAGAGUCCACUUCUAAAUUCAGAACCAAAAAAAGCUAUAUUUGUUCAGACUCCAAAAGGCUUUUUUGUACCACUGCACAUUGCUAACAAGCCUGGAUUACAUGUUGUUUCAGGAAGACCACUUCCAUUGGUUAACACACAAGGUGUACCUGCUUCUCUUCUUUUAAACAAGAAACCCGGGAUGAUUUUAACAUUUAAUCAUGGGAAACUUGAAGGUGUUUCCACUGUCAAAACUGAGAGUGCUCAAGCUUGUGGAACUACAGCUAAGGAGCUUUGCAGAACACCUUUUUUAAAGGUGGAACCAAACAGUAAUUGUCUGACACCUGCACUAUGUUCCAGCAUUGGCAGUUGCUUGAGCAUGAAAAGUAGUUCCGAAAAUACUCUGCCGUUAAAAGGCCCGUACAUUAUUAAAACGUCAGCAAGUUCUUCAGUGAAAGCUGUUCCUACUCCUAAUGUAGCUUCUGAGCACCAGGGCACCAAGUUGAAUAUUUUGGAAUCAGUAAAACAGCAGAAUGAGAUUUUUCCCAAACCACCUCUUUAUACCCUCUUGCCUGAUGGCAAACAAGCUGUUUUUUUAAAGUGUGUGAUGCCAAAUAAGACUGAGCUGCUUAAGCCUAAAUUAGUCCAAAAUAGUACGUAUUAUCAAAACAUACAGCCAAAGAAACCUGAAGGAACACCACAAAAAAUAUUGCUGAAAAUUUUUAACCCUGUUUUAAAUGUGACUGCUGCUAACAAUCUGUCUGUAAACAACUCUGCAUCCUCAUUGCAGAAAGACAAAGUACCAUCUAAUCAGACUACAGGAGGAGAGCAGAGAGAGCCAGAAUCUUCUAGAGAUGCCUUACCCUUCUUACUAGAUGAUAUGAUGCCAGCAAAUGAAAUUGUGAUAACUUCUACUGCGACAUGCCCAGAAUCUUCUGAGGAACCAGUGUGUUUCACUGACCGUUCAGAUACCAGGGUGUUAAGGUGUAAAACAAAUUGUACAAUUGAGAGAAGCUUCAAUAGAAAAAAGACUUCCAAAAAAAAUUUUCCAAGAAUAAAAACUCAUGUAAGAAGUAAAGAUUCUGAAACUGCCUUUGUACCUAGAAACAGGAACUGUAAACGAAAGUGUAGGGAGAGUUACCAAGAACCUCCAAGAAAAAAGGCAACAUUACAUAGAAAGUGUAAAGAAAAGGCAAAACCCGAAGCUGUCCGUGAAUCGUUUGGAUUUAGCAGACCGAGGCUUUCAAAAGAUGCAGUCAGAACUUUGCGGCUUUUCCCAUUUAGUUCCACACAGCUUGUGAAAUGUCCUAGGAGAAACCAGCCAGUUGUAGUUUUGAAUCAUCCUGAUGCAGAUGCCCCAGAAGUAGUAAGUGUAAUGAAAACUAUUGCUAAAUUUAAUGGACGUGUACUUAAGGUUUCAUUGUCAAAAAGAACUAUCGAUGCUUUACUGAAACCGGUUUGUGGUAAUGCUUCACAAACAAUUUAUGAUGAUUUUUCCAAGAGGCAUAAAACAUUUAAACCUGUUAGUUCUGUGAAAGAAAGAUUUGUGCUAAAAUUAACACUCAAAAAGAUGAGCAAAAACAAUUAUCAGAUCGUGAAAACUACCUCUGAAAAUGUUCCAAAAGCUAAAUUUAACUGUUGGUUUUGUGGUAGAGUAUUUGACAAUCAGGAUGCUUGGGCUGGUCAUGGGCAGAGACAUUUAAUGGAAGCUACUCGUGAUUGGAAUAUAUUAGAAUA
This 2899-nucleotide long non-coding RNA is filed under the name Lynx pardinus (Iberian lynx). Lineage: Eukaryota; Metazoa; Chordata; Mammalia; Carnivora; Felidae. The record is from RNAcentral.